GACCGCGUAGCUCAGUUGGCAGAGCGUUGGGCUAGUAUUCCAAAGGUUGUAGGUUCGAUUCCCAUCGUGGCCA
Molecule: transfer RNA, 73 nt
Filed under: Paramuricea clavata
Lineage: Eukaryota; Metazoa; Cnidaria; Anthozoa; Malacalcyonacea; Plexauridae
Rfam family: tRNA
About the family: Transfer RNA (tRNA) molecules are approximately 80 nucleotides in length. Their secondary structure includes four short double-helical elements and three loops (D, anti-codon, and T loops). Further hydrogen bonds mediate the characteristic L-shaped molecular structure. tRNAs have two regions of fundamental functional importance: the anti-codon, which is responsible for specific mRNA codon recognition, and the 3' end, to which the tRNAs corresponding amino acid is attached (by aminoacyl-tRNA synthetases). tRNAs cope with the degeneracy of the genetic code in two manners: having more than one tRNA (with a specific anti-codon) for a particular amino acid; and 'wobble' base-pairing, i.e. permitting non-standard base-pairing at the 3rd anti-codon position.
Source: Rfam by way of RNAcentral